GAUCCUGGCUCAGGACGAACGCUGGCGGCACGCCUAACACAUGCAAGUCGAACGGACGAGGAGGAGCUUGCUUCUCCGAGUUAGUGGCGGACGGGUGAGUAACACGUGAGCAACCUGCCCUUGAGAGGGGGAUAGCUUCUGGAAACGGAUGGUAAUACCCCAUAACAUAUAUUUUAGGCAUCUAAGAUAUAUCAAAAGAAAUUCGCUCAAGGAUGGGCUCGCGUCUGAUUAGAUAGUUGGUG
This 242-nucleotide ribosomal RNA is filed under the name uncultured bacterium. RNAcentral's name for it is "partial 16S ribosomal RNA". It matches the Rfam family "Bacterial small subunit ribosomal RNA", at positions 15 to 254 of the family's 1533-position model. The record is from RNAcentral.